RNAcentral lists this ribosomal RNA (180 nucleotides) under Triticum aestivum (bread wheat). Its description in RNAcentral is "partial small subunit ribosomal RNA". The record is from RNAcentral. Lineage: Eukaryota; Viridiplantae; Streptophyta; Magnoliopsida; Poales; Poaceae.
AUGGUUCGUAGCACUUUGAUGAUGCUUGUUGCGUGGGAAAUUUGGAAUGAACGCAACGCGAGGGUUUUCCGCAACACCGCCGCCCCUACUACCGUUGUCAUUGCCAAGAUUAAAGAUGAGGCCUCUAUUUGGGCUCGUGCGGGUGCGAAGUAUUUAUGUAAUAUUAUGCUGCGAGAGUGA